GAAAUGCGAUAAGUAAUGUGAAUUGCAGAAUUCAGUGAAUCAUCGAAUCUUUGAACGCACCUUGCGCUCCUUGGUAUUCCGAGGAGCAUGCCUGUUUGAGUGUCAUUAAUAUAUAUAUCAACUUCUCUUGUUUGAGUUGUUUGGAUGUGGGUUUGCUGGCCUUGUUCAGCUCUCCUAAAAUGCAUUAGCGGAGCAAACCUGUUCAUUGGUGUGAUAACUAUCUACGCUAUUGAAUGUGAGGGGCAGUUCAGCUCUCUAACGGUCCUUGGACAAUUCUUCAUUAAUGUGACCUCAAAUCAGGUAGGACUACCCGCUGAACUUAA
This 323-nucleotide unclassified non-coding RNA is filed under the name uncultured Cortinarius. Its description in RNAcentral is "sequence contains ITS1". The stretch from base 1 to 105 matches the Rfam family "5.8S ribosomal RNA", at positions 50 to 154 of the family's 154-position model. Lineage: Eukaryota; Fungi; Basidiomycota; Agaricomycetes; Agaricales; Cortinariaceae. The record is from RNAcentral.